CGCGUGACUGAUAUUAGGUAGAUAUGAUAGUGGUGCCUCACAGGCAAUCUGUUUUUACAUCUACUACACAUCAUAUAAUAUAUUACAGGCACACAAGCUUGGUUUUUGUAAAGAUACUACAAGUGAGCUCCACAAAAAUGAAGCAUACUUACUUGUUACAUCAUGCUUUCUAUUCCCUGUGAUAUUAUAAUGGUAGCCCUUAGAAACUUCAAAGAGCAUCAAAGGGGUCUUUGUUGUGAGCCUGCUCGUCAUUGCUUCUGAUUCUGCGAAGUUUGAGUGAAUAAGAAAUUGCUUGGAUUGGCUGAUCAGUCACUCGAAUCAGGUUGUAAGAACAUGCUCCAAGCAGUGUUCCCACCACUGGUCCAAUAAUGUAGACCCAUAUCCCCUUGUAGUAUGCGCUAGCAAUUGCUGGCCCUAGCGACCUUGCUGGGUUCAUAGAUCCGCCUGAUACUGGGCUGAGGAUCACUAGACGGAUGGUUAGUUUUAUAAUUGUGGAUUGUGUGUAUCGUACUACGGUGGCCAAGGGCCGAUUCAGGGUUAAAAACUUAGAAUGACUCUGGGGUUUUUCCAAUUUUAGGAUUCCCAUUUUGUUCUAAUUUAAGAAAUAAUUUUUUAUUUUUAUUUUAAAAAGAAAAAAAUCGGUUUGAUCCAAUAUUAAUAUUAAUCGAUCUGAUUUUAACUGGUUUGAAUUUCAAUUUGAAGUGAUCCAGUUCCACUCUAAUUUCGGUUUCGAGCCAAUUCCUGACCAGAUCUACAUCAAGUUCUGGUCUUGGUAGAGGCAUUCCUGACUGAAAUUUUUGGUUUCAUUUAUACACCCAAGUUAAUUAUUUUAUUUAUUUAAUAAAUGUUUGUUAGAAAUUGAAGAUCUAGACCCAUUAAUUUCUUCUGUUAGGUAUGGCUUACCCGGCCAAGAUGGAUGUUAUACACACUGCAGAACCAACUGCUACACCUGCC
This 954-nucleotide unclassified non-coding RNA is filed under the name Hevea brasiliensis (rubber tree). The record is from RNAcentral. Lineage: Eukaryota; Viridiplantae; Streptophyta; Magnoliopsida; Malpighiales; Euphorbiaceae.